UGGAUCAGCAAGAACUGUCCAGUGAC
This 26-nucleotide non-coding RNA is filed under the name Homo sapiens (human). Lineage: Eukaryota; Metazoa; Chordata; Mammalia; Primates; Hominidae. The record is from RNAcentral.